CGUUAAAAGGAAUUGACGGGGCCCGCACAAGCGGUGGAGUAUGUUGUUUAAUUCGAAGAUACACGAAGAACCUUUACCAGGUCUUGACAUACCAUUGACAGGCACAGAGAUGUGCUCUCCUUCGGGCAAUGGAUACAGGUGGUGCAUGGUUGUCGUCAGCUCGUGCCGUGAGGUGUUGGGUUAAGUCCCGCAACGAGCGCAACCCUCAUUGUUAGUUACUACCAUUCAGUUGAGGACUCUAAUGAGACUGCCAACGAUAAGUUGGAGGAAGGUGGGGAUGACGUCAAAUCAUCAUGCCCUUUAUGACCUGGGCUACAAACGUACUACAAUGGCCGGUACAAAGAGAUGCGAAGUGGCGACAUGGAGCGAACCUCAGAAAGCCGGUCUCAGUUCAGAUUGAAGUCUGCAACUCGACUUCAUGAAGGCGGAAUCGCUAGUAAUCGCGGGUCAGCAGACCGCGGUGAAUACGUUCCCGGGUUUU
This 481-nucleotide ribosomal RNA is filed under the name uncultured Mollicutes bacterium. RNAcentral describes it as "bacterial SSU rRNA". It matches the Rfam family "Bacterial small subunit ribosomal RNA", at positions 903 to 1382 of the family's 1533-position model. The record is from RNAcentral. Lineage: Bacteria; Bacillati; Mycoplasmatota; Mollicutes.